CAACAGUAAAGAGGCGACUCCGGGAUACUGGCCUUCUAGGCAGGGUUGCAAAGAAAAAGACAUAUCUCAGACUGGCCAAUAAAAAGAAAAGAUUAAGAUGCGCAAAAGAACACAGACACUGGACAGAGGAACUCUGCCUAGAAGGCCAGCAUCCCGGAGUCGCCUCUUCACUGUUGAAAUUGAGACUGGUGUUUUGCAGGUACUAUUUAAUUAAGCUGCCAGUUGAGGACUUGUGAGGUGGCGCUUCUCAAUGCAGGAUGUGGAAGAGGGGAGGGAAGCACACUCUGUAAACAGGAAUAGGUGAUUCACCGGUCACUGAGCUAGUAAGCUAAAGUUAGCUAGUUAGUCACAGAAAUGUACGUUCAGCCUGUUAAUUAUUUCAGUCCGAUUUGACUUAUCUUACAAAGUCAGCAUGGCUUAACAUAGUUUAUUUCGUUUUUGACCUCGACACUGUUGCUGGAAAUAUACUUUUAUAGCUAACAUGCUGGCGCUGCUAGCUAGCUAAUGCUAACGAUGCUAGCGAACCUCAUAUCUGGAUGCCUCACUAGUUCCUGAGAGAGUGCUGCAAAGUCAACUUUGCUUUCAAACGUUGUAAUCAUCUGUAAAGUUGUUUUACAUGUAAUCAUACAAGCUAGGUAGUUGUUUUGUUAAAAAAAGCCUGUUGUCAUUCAUUGGUUGUUUCUUUGGUGCUAAGCUACCACUAGCUAGCUAGGUAGAUAAUAAUGUGAUGUACAUUAGGCUACAGUAACGUUACAGUAUUACUGAACGACAGCAAUAUAGCCUUGUCGUUAUUCGUUUGGUCCCUUGACAAUAUUAUGUUAUUUUUUACUUGGUAAAAUAAGCUAAUGGUUGUGUGCAAUCUCACUAGAUAGAAUUGUGUGGUUUGGUGGCAGAUUUUCAAAAGAAUAGACAUACAGUAUAUCAUCAUCAAUUCUCAAUCAGAUGAGAUUCACAGCUAACCCAUAUUGAAUUUCAUUCAUUUAUAAAUGUGGACACAAAUGAUUGUUAAUAUUCCAAUUCUCUAGGCCCUCCAUUCCCAAACCUGAAGCCCCCUGUCCCCAGCAGGAAAGACCUGGAAAAAGUUUUGGCUUAAGUUACAAGCAAUCUAUCAAAUGUAUUUUAUAAAGCCCUUUUUACAUCAGCAGUUGUCAAAGUGCUUAUACAGAUACCCAGCCUAAAACCCCAAAGAGCAAGCAACGCAUACGUAGAAGCACAAUGUCUAGGAAAAACUCCCUAGAAAGGCAGAAACCUCUGAGGGUGGCCAGUCGUCUUCUGGCUGUGCUGGUGGAGAUUAUAGAAGUGUACAGCCAUUUAGGUCAGAUUAUUCUUCAAGACGUUUAAACGUUCAUAGAUGACCAGCAGUGUCAAAUAAUAGAGGGUGCAAUAGUUCAGCACCUCAGGAGUAAAUGCCAGUUGGCUCUUCAUAGCUGAGCAUUUAGAGGUUGAGACAGUAGGUCCGGUAGAGAGAGACAGGAUCAAACAGCAGGUCUUUGACAAGGUAGUACCUCCGGUGAGCCUUGAGCAGGUCGGGGUUCCAUAGCUGCAGACAGAAACAGCAGAGACUGGAUCAGCAGAAUGAUCAGGUGGACUGGAGACAGGGACAGCCAGGAGUCAUCAGGCCAGAUCUGCCAAUCUGCUCGGUGGAGUGUUCCAGGCCUGGAGUGGCAUGCUGGAACUUCCAGAGUCUUGUAGAGCUGAAGCAGUGUGAUGUGGUCCAGAGGGAUGAGGACUGAGGAGCCCUGUGAGCAGCCAGUCAAGCCCCCAGGUCUUGCCCCAGCCCAAGACCAGCGCCGGGCCCAGCCCCGGUCCACUCAGCUUUACCUUGCUCUGCGGAGGGGGAACAGCCAGAGAGAGAGAGAGAGAGAGAGAGAGAAAGAAAAAGAAAAUGACCUGAGCCCUAGGACCAUGCCUCAGGACUUCCUGGCAUGAUGACUCCUUGCUGUCCCCAGUCCACCUGGCCAUGCUGCUGCUCCAGUUUCAACUGUUCUGCCUGCGGCUAUGGAACCCUGACCUGUUCACCGGACGUGCUACCUGUCCCAGACCUGCUGUUUUCAACUCUCUAGAGACAGCAGGAGCGGUUGAGAUACUCUCAAUGAUCGGCUAUGAAAAGCCAACUGACAUUUACUCUUGAGGUGCUGACUUGUUGUACCCUCGACAACUACUGUGAC
RNAcentral lists this long non-coding RNA (2168 nucleotides) under Salmo salar (Atlantic salmon). RNAcentral's name for it is "lncRNA (ENSSSAG00000101966.1)". The record is from RNAcentral. Lineage: Eukaryota; Metazoa; Chordata; Actinopteri; Salmoniformes; Salmonidae.